RNAcentral lists this long non-coding RNA (533 nucleotides) under Calidris pugnax (ruff). RNAcentral describes it as "lncRNA (ENSCPUG00000015559.1)". Lineage: Eukaryota; Metazoa; Chordata; Aves; Charadriiformes; Scolopacidae. The record is from RNAcentral.
UUAACAUCUACUGUGACGUGACUCCUGGUGUUUAUGUUCUGUAUCUCCCACAGGCAUUAGCAAGUGAGAACCCACACACUUCCCAAGGCAGAUGGGUCCUGAGGGUUUCCGUUGGUGGACAAGUGGGGGCAAAAAAUGCAGUGACAGGAGGAAUCAAGAGGAAUUCUGGAACUGGAGAUUCUCCUUCCUGGAUGCUCUUGCUGCUGAAUUUCUAGAGGAAGAAUUUGUCCAUCUUCCUUGCCUGAGUGGGACCAUCCUCCAGGACUCUUCCCAGUGUCCCACUCCUUGUUUGGGUUCAGUCUUACAUCGCCACCUCUACUUUAUGUUGCUGAAGUGAAAGAAGCAUACUGGGCGAUCCAUCUUGUACGCAGGAAAACCCCGGGGGCUAUGGAGAAGGCUCAGCAUCCAGCUCUGAACUCAAUUAGCACAAAUCUCAUUCUAUAAAUUAGACCACGUUGCGGAGAAAGGAGAAAACGCGGCUCCUUGACAGGGGGAGAGAGAGAGAGAGAAAUGCUUUGGGACAGCUGCCUUCA